CCACACUUCAGAAGCAACCAAAGUGUCCCCAGUUAACCUUUGCGGCGAUGGAGCACUGGCUACGGAUUCUGUUAUUUAUCAACUCGUAUGGAUGCCUUUGAGCAACUGUGCCUCUGAGUAUAAAAAGGAGCCCCACCUGAAAGGAGAAGAAAGCUUUAUCACCCACCCUAUGUGUCCUCUUCCUGUGUGGGACAGAGAGAUCAGGAGAGGAGUGACCGGCUGGGAAUUGGUUUGUUUUCUGUGGCACAGAGGAUCAAAGUAAAUAUAGAAGCUUUUUUCUCUCUUGCUUUCCACUCUCACUCCCUAAGGAGAACAAUUGGCAGCAGGUUUUUAUAUCUUCUCUCUGGAAAUUAACCAAUUUUAGCUUUCCUCCCAUAUACGGAAUUAUAAUACAGUAAUGGCUGUUUGUCAUGUGCUUGCUAUGUGCCAGAGAAUGUCUUCAGCAUCUUGUAUAGACUGCAUUUUACCUCAUCCCCAGGGCAACUCUACGAAAGCCAUAUAACUUGAAUUUUCAUUCUUCACCGGGCCACAGGCACCUAGAUAAGGUACCGAAGAGACAAGGCCCAGCAACCGUGGACUGAGACCUCCGAAACUGAGCAACACAAACCUUUCUUUCCUUAAGUUAUUUUGCCUCAGAAAUAUGUUACAUUACCAGAAAACUAACAAAUGCAUACUAUUCUAUACUUACAUAGUACUUUUAAAUGAAGGAAUCUGAUGGGAGAUGUCAUUCUUUAAAUAUGUCUCUCUUACUAGUUGAUGAAUAAAACACUGUUGGCCAAUGGGGAAGCAAGAUAGGCAGGACUAGGAGACAAGGAGGAUUCUGGGAAAUGUAGUAAAGAGGAGUUGCCAUGUGAUCCUGGGAGGAGAGGAUGCAUGAGUCUGGUUUUCUUGGUAAGAUAAGACCUUGUAGAAAUACAUAUAUUAGUAGUGACAGGUUAAUACUUAAGGCGGAGCUACCCAGUAAGAACCCCUAGACAUUGGCCAAUAGCAUUAUAACUAA
RNAcentral lists this long non-coding RNA (1000 nucleotides) under Cricetulus griseus (Chinese hamster). RNAcentral describes it as "lncRNA (ENSCGRG00015037952.1)". Lineage: Eukaryota; Metazoa; Chordata; Mammalia; Rodentia; Cricetidae. The record is from RNAcentral.